This 344-nucleotide ribosomal RNA is filed under the name uncultured bacterium. RNAcentral describes it as "bacterial SSU rRNA". It matches the Rfam family "Bacterial small subunit ribosomal RNA", at positions 8 to 334 of the family's 1533-position model. The record is from RNAcentral.
AGGGUUUGAUUCUGGCUCAGGAUGAACGCUGGCGGCGUGCUUAACACAUGCAAGUCGAGCGAAGCACUUAUGAAAGAUUCUUCGGAUGAUUUCAUUUGUGACUGAGCGGCGGACGGGUGAGUAACGCGUGGGUAACCUGCCUCAUACAGGGGGAUAACAGUUGGAAACGACUGCUAAUACCGCAUAAGCGCACGGUGUCGCAUGACACAGUGUGAAAAACUCCGGUGGUAUGAGAUGGACCCGCGUCUGAUUAGCUGGUUGGUGGGGUAACGGCCUACCAAGGCGACGAUCAGUAGCCGACCUGAGAGGGUGAUCGGCCACAUUGGGACUGAGACACGGCCCAA